This 475-nucleotide ribosomal RNA is filed under the name uncultured bacterium. Its description in RNAcentral is "bacterial SSU rRNA". It matches the Rfam family "Bacterial small subunit ribosomal RNA", at positions 30 to 506 of the family's 1533-position model. The record is from RNAcentral.
UUGAACGCUGGCGGCAUGCUUUACACAUGCAAGUCGAACGGUAACAGGUUAAGCUGACGAGUGGCGAACGGGUGAGUAAUGCAUCGGAACGUGCCCGAUCGUGGGGGAUAACGCAGCGAAAGCUGCGCUAAUACCGCAUACGAUCUGAGGAUGAAAGCGGGGGACCGUAAGGCCUCGCGCGAUCGGAGCGGCCGAUGUCAGAUUAGGUAGUUGGUGGGGUAAAGGCUCACCAAGCCGACGAUCUGUAGCUGGUCUGAGAGGACGACCAGCCACACUGGGACUGAGACACGGCCCAGACUCCUACGGGAGGCAGCAGUGGGGAAUUUUGGACAAUGGGCGCAAGCCUGAUCCAGCCAUACCGCGUGAGUGAAGAAGGCCUUCGGGUUGUAAAGCUCUUUCAGCCGGAAAGAAAUUGCUUCUAUUAAUACUAGGAGUAGAUGACGGUACCGGAAGAAGAAGCACCGGCUAACUACGU